UGAGGAAUAUUGGGCAAUGCCCGCAAGGGUGACCCAGCAACGCCGCGUGGAGGAUGAAUGUCGUAAGAUUGUAAACUCCUGUUAGAGGGGAAGAAUAGUACCGGUUGGACCGGUAUAUGACUGUACCCUCAGAGAAAGCCCCGGCUAACUACGUGCCAGCAGCCGCGGUAAUACGGAGGGUGCAAGCGUUAAUCGGACUUACUGGGCGUAAAGCGUGCGCAGGCGGUUUGUUAAGUCUGCUGUGAAAUCCCCGAGCUCAACUUGGGAAUUGCAGUGGAUACUGGCAAGCUGGAGUACGGUAGAGGAAGGUGGAAUUCCCGGUGUAGCAGUGAAAUGCGUAGAGAUCGGGAGGAACACCAGUGGCGAAGGCGGCCUUCUGGACCAGUACUGACGCUCAUGCACGAAAGCGUGGGGAGCAAACA
This 422-nucleotide ribosomal RNA is filed under the name uncultured bacterium. RNAcentral describes it as "bacterial SSU rRNA". It matches the Rfam family "Bacterial small subunit ribosomal RNA", at positions 355 to 774 of the family's 1533-position model. The record is from RNAcentral.